CCUACGGGAGGCAGCAGUGGGGAAUUUUGGACAAUGGGCGCAAGCCUGAUCCAGCCAUGCCGCGUGAGUGAAGAAGGCCUUCGGGUUGUAAAGCUCUUUCGGCCGGGAAGAAAUCGUGUUCUCUAACAUAGGACAUGGAUGACGGUACCGGACUAAGAAGCACCGGCUAACUACGUGCCAGCAGCCGCGGUAAUACGUAGGGUGCGAGCGUUAAUCGGAAUUACUGGGCGUAAAGCGUGCGCAGGCGGUUUUGUAAGACAGAUGUGAAAUCCCCGGGCUUAACCUGGGAACUGCGUUUGUGACUGCAAGGCUAGAGUACGGCAGAGGGGGUGGAAUUCCUGGUGUAGCAGUGAAAUGCGUAGAUAUCAGGAGGAACACCGAUGGCGAAGGCAGCCCCCUGGGCCUGUACUGACGCUCAUGCACGAAAGCGUGGGGAG
RNAcentral lists this ribosomal RNA (437 nucleotides) under uncultured bacterium. Its description in RNAcentral is "bacterial SSU rRNA". It matches the Rfam family "Bacterial small subunit ribosomal RNA", at positions 338 to 768 of the family's 1533-position model. The record is from RNAcentral.